GAUGAACGCUAGCUACAGGCUUAACACAUGCAAGUCGAGGGGAAACGAUAUUGGAAGCUUGCUUCCGAUAGGCGUCGACCGGCGCACGGGUGAGUAACGCGUAUCCAACCUGCCCACCACUUGGGGAUAACCUUGCGAAAGUAAGACUAAUACCCAAUGACGUCUCUAGAAGACAUCUGAAAGAGAUUAAAGAUUUAUCGGUGAUGGAUGGGGAUGCGUCUGAUUAGCUUGUUGGCGGGGUAACGGCCCACCAAGGCUACGAUCAGUAGGGGUUCUGAGAGGAAGGUCCCCCACAUUGGAACUGAGACACGGUCCAAACUCCUACGGGAGGCAGCAGUGAGGAAUAUUGGUCAAUGGGCGAGAGCCUGAACCAGCCAAGUAGCGUGCAGGAUGACGGCCCUAUGGGUUGUAAACUGCUUUUAUAAGGGAAUAAAGUGAGUCUCGUGAGACUUUUUGCAUGUACCUUAUGAAUAAGGACCGGCUAAUUCCGUGCCAGCAGCCGCGGUAA
This 508-nucleotide ribosomal RNA is filed under the name uncultured bacterium. Its description in RNAcentral is "partial 16S ribosomal RNA". It matches the Rfam family "Bacterial small subunit ribosomal RNA", at positions 28 to 523 of the family's 1533-position model. The record is from RNAcentral.